AAACGGCCGCGGUACCCUAACCGUGCAAAGGUAGCAUAAUCAUUUGCCUUUUAAUUGGAGGCUGGUAUGAAUGGUUUGACGAGAGCCACGCUGUCUCUCCCAAAAUAUCUAAAAAUUAACUUUUAGGUGAAGAGGCCUGAAUAUAUUUAAGGGACAAGAAGACCCUGUUGAGCUUUAGUGUAGUUACAAAUAAUUAAGCGAGUUUUAUUUGACAAAAUAAAAUGAUGUUGUACUUUGUAUAACGUAAGUUUGUAAUGAAUCUUUAGUUGGGGCGACUGAGGAACAAUGAAAGCUUCUUUUUAUAAAACGUCUUUGUUGUAUUAAUGAAGUAUAAGUUGAUUUUUACUAAUUAUUUUGAUCCAAAUUUGUUUUGAUUAAAGGAAAAAGUUACCACAGGGAUAACAGCGUAAUCUUUCUGGAGAGACCUUAUCGAAAGAAGGGUUUGCGACCUCG
This 453-nucleotide ribosomal RNA is filed under the name Oxystele tigrina. RNAcentral's name for it is "partial 16S ribosomal RNA". It matches the Rfam family "Bacterial large subunit ribosomal RNA", at positions 1925 to 2528 of the family's 2925-position model. Lineage: Eukaryota; Metazoa; Mollusca; Gastropoda; Trochida; Trochidae. The record is from RNAcentral.